RNAcentral lists this non-coding RNA (28 nucleotides) under Cricetulus griseus (Chinese hamster). The record is from RNAcentral. Lineage: Eukaryota; Metazoa; Chordata; Mammalia; Rodentia; Cricetidae.
AAGAAUUCUCCCGAGCACUCUAAAGGAA